RNAcentral lists this long non-coding RNA (513 nucleotides) under Helicoverpa zea (corn earworm). RNAcentral describes it as "uncharacterized LOC124646050". The record is from RNAcentral. Lineage: Eukaryota; Metazoa; Arthropoda; Insecta; Lepidoptera; Noctuidae.
UGUCAUUGACAUAUAACUAUAAUUCUAAGCUCGAUGGUGUCUGUUCAGUUCUUUGCUGUUGUUUUGGAUUGUGGUUUGUUACUGCAUCUGAGCAAUUUAAGCAAAUUAUCUGGUCAUUUUUACGUUGAGUCGAGGAACUGCUCCUCCGUACUCUAUCUGUUGAUAGUACUUUCGCGAAAGGACGCUUUAUUACUUGUGUUAUGUGUGUGUACGUGCUUUAAAAUGACGAGUUUGCAAUGCAUCAAUUGCAACGUUCGCUUGUCGCGAAUACGAAGGCACGCUUUAUCCGAUGAGAGUGAAGAUAUCGUCAAUACUAUUCGGCUGUGGACAUAUCCUAGAGAUAUAACACCUGCUGACCCUGUUUGCCGCACGGAACAAAUAUUUGAAUGAUCUGCAAGUAGUUGUUCUGGGUCUGGGUAUUUCUGCACAUGAGUUUCUAUGUUGAUGAAAUAAUACUAAGAAUAGAUUAAAUAAUUAUAAGAACAAUAAAAUAGAUGUAUAUUCCUACAAAAA